UACGUAGGUGACAAGCGUUGUCCGGAUUUACUGGGCGUAAAGAGCGCGCAGGCGGUCGUUCAAGUCGAGUGUGAAAGCCCCCGGCUCAACUGGGGAGGGUCACUCGAUACUGAUCGACUCGAAGGCAGGAGAGGGAAGUGGAAUUCCCGGUGUAGUGGUGAAAUGCGUAGAUAUCGAGAGGAACACCAGUGGCGAAGGCGAGUCUCUGGACGACUCCUGACACUGAGGCACGAAAGCCAGGGGAGCAAACGGG
RNAcentral lists this ribosomal RNA (253 nucleotides) under uncultured bacterium. RNAcentral's name for it is "partial 16S ribosomal RNA". It matches the Rfam family "Bacterial small subunit ribosomal RNA", at positions 524 to 776 of the family's 1533-position model. The record is from RNAcentral.